UACGUAGGGGGCGAGCGUUGUCCGGAGUUACUGGGCGUAAAGCGCACGCAGGCGGUCUGCUAAGUUUGGAGUGACAGUUGGUGGCUUAACUGCCAAAGUGCUUCGAAAACUGACAGACUUGAGGGCUUCAGAGGGACACGGAAUUCCGGGUGGAGUGGUGAAAUGCGUAGAGAUCCGGAGGAACACCAAAGGCGAAGGCAGUGUCCUGGGGAGUACCUGACGCUCAGGUGCGAAAGCCAGGGGAGCAAACGGG
This 253-nucleotide ribosomal RNA is filed under the name uncultured bacterium. RNAcentral's name for it is "partial 16S ribosomal RNA". It matches the Rfam family "Bacterial small subunit ribosomal RNA", at positions 524 to 776 of the family's 1533-position model. The record is from RNAcentral.